Leptonychotes weddellii (Weddell seal) is the source of this 626-nucleotide non-coding RNA. The record is from RefSeq and is a predicted model, not a curated record. NCBI's taxonomy places the organism in Eukaryota, Metazoa, Chordata, Mammalia, Carnivora, Phocidae.
GCUGGCUUUGGAGAACCAUAGAAGAGAGACUCUUACUGAAGGUGAAAUGGGAUGAUCAAGUCUUCUGGCCCCGUGCUCCUCCACAGAAUUAGCUGUCUCUCCCCAAAGUAGUUCUCUGGUGCUUGCAAGGCCUUAAAAUGGGGGGGGCUCCUGGCGUGUCUAAGAAGAUGUUAGGGUAGGACAGUAGGGAUAAAGACAACCCCUGACUCCUUAGAAGUUUUCCUGGAAGAAAACUUUCCUUUCCCUCUUUCUAUGGAAGAUUUAGAAACACAUUCUACUUCAGAUUCCUCAAGUAACUUCGACUAUAUAAUCCAUCAUCUUCUUCACUGUUUCAAUGUCUUCCUCAAUGAAAUAACCAGAUGUGUCUUCCUGAUUCACAAGGGGCUGAGGGUCUGAACCAUCAUCUGGAUGGGGGAGCAGGGGCACUGAAAAUCACGGGAGAGUAGAACCCCGCUGACUCCGAUGACCUUGAUGGGUCCCCUGAGCCACAGUGCUUGGCACAAAUUCCUCCAUUUCCAUUGAGCAAAGGAACGUGGUAGCCGCCACCCAGGACCAAGUCCUUGCCCACGGAGCAGAAAUGUAACGCCUCCCUAGAACUGGCUUCUCAGAGAGCAAUGGAAAUGCUA